Molecule: ribosomal RNA, 254 nt
Filed under: uncultured bacterium
Lineage: Bacteria
Description: partial 16S ribosomal RNA
Rfam family: Bacterial small subunit ribosomal RNA
Source: RNAcentral
GUCCACGCUGUAAACGAUGAUUACUCGUUUCGGCGAUAUACAGUCUGAGACUAAGCGAAAGUGAUAAGUAAUCCACCUGGGAGUACGAUCGCAAGGUUGAAACUCAAAGGAAUUGACGGGGCCCGCACAAGCGGUGGAGCAUGUGGUUUAAUUCGAUGAUACGCGAGGAACCUUACCAGGGCUUAAAUGCAAGUUGAAUGAUGUGGAAACAUGUCAGUCUUCGGACAAUUUGCAAGGUGCUGCAUGGCUGUCGU